AGCGGCGGACGGGUGAGUAACGCGUGGGUAACCGUGCCUCAUACAGGGGAUAACAGUUGGAAACGGCUGCUAAUACCGCAUAAGCGCACAGUACCGCAUGGUACCGUGUGAAAAACUCCGGUGGUAUGAGAUGGACCCGCGUCUGAUUAGCUAGUUGGUGGGGUAACGGCCUACCAAGGCGACGAUCAGUAGCCGACCUGAGAGGGUGACCGGCCACAUUGGGACUGAGACACGGCCCAA
Molecule: ribosomal RNA, 240 nt
Filed under: uncultured bacterium
Lineage: Bacteria
Description: partial 16S ribosomal RNA
Rfam family: Bacterial small subunit ribosomal RNA
Source: RNAcentral